CGCUGCCGUCAACACGUUCACUUCGCGAUUGCUGUAAUCUCCUUCACAGCCUACGUUGUCCAAUUCCUUGCGCCAAUAAUUGUCAGCAUUAUUUGCCCGGACAACACUCCAGAACAGUGGACAAUUCUGUUCCUAUUCAUCACUGGUGUUAUCAUCGUCUGCAACGCUGGCUUUCCGUUCAUCACUAGAUCCGACCCAGCUGCUUAUACGAAACAGAUAAACGUUGAGAAUGUAGAGAAAUAG
RNAcentral lists this unclassified non-coding RNA (243 nucleotides) under Caenorhabditis elegans. RNAcentral describes it as "Non-coding transcript of protein-coding gene F56A4.12c". Lineage: Eukaryota; Metazoa; Nematoda; Chromadorea; Rhabditida; Rhabditidae. The record is from RNAcentral.